UGCCAACCAUCAGCCAGACUGCAGGAGUAUCUCUUUUGUGUGGCUUGUUGCCAUGUUAAAGGUAAUCAUGUCUGGGAGCAUGUGGCCCCCGUGAGUUCCAGAAGCCCUUACCUACAGCUCAUCUGUUGUUGUUUAACUUCUCUGUACAUGUGCCAGUGAAAUCUUCAGGGUGGGAUCCUGGGCUCUUUAUCAAGAGCACACAAGAGACUGUGGUAUAAGGGUAAGCUCCGCUGCCUUUGAUCUAGCUUUGCACAGCUUUCCAAACAGCAGCUCUUGGUGGCGAUGGUCCCGAUACCUACGUGGUUUGCAGUACAGGCAGUGGCUAUAAAUGGUGGCAGAGGAGAAGAGGCUUCACAGAAUAGAGUGGGUGUGUAAGGAGAAACAUCUGCAAUCCAAAAACCAGCCAAGCCUGGUGCUGGUCUGCUGCCUCUGA
Molecule: long non-coding RNA, 433 nt
Filed under: Numida meleagris (helmeted guineafowl)
Lineage: Eukaryota; Metazoa; Chordata; Aves; Galliformes; Numididae
Description: lncRNA (ENSNMEG00000018178.1)
Source: RNAcentral